GUAGGGGGGUGCUUGACUUUCGGUUCAACUGAGGAAAGUCCGCCCACAGAUGCCAGACUCAUGCUUCAAUGCAUGAGUCUAGCUGAAAACGGCUGCUCAAAAGAGAUCCUUAAUAGGGAUAGCAACCGCGCAGAAACGAGACCUCUGUGUAGGGUAUGUUCAAAGGCAUGCACAGCGAUGAGGGUUGCGAAGACCCUGGUGACAGGGUUGAGUGGGGCUCUGGCAACAGGCUCCUUGACCACCCGAGCCGAUCACACAGGAUGGAUGAAACGGCGAGCCUCAGCCAGUGCAAGUCUUUAAAGACGCUUAGUAGAAUGUCAAGACAGGGCAUCGAUGAGCUUCCCAGGAAGCGAGGCCCUGACAGAAGGCGGCUUAUAGCCCCUCUAC
RNAcentral lists this RNase P RNA (387 nucleotides) under Candidatus Woesearchaeota archaeon. Its description in RNAcentral is "RNase P RNA component". It matches the Rfam family "Archaeal RNase P". From Rfam's summary of the family: Ribonuclease P (RNase P) is a ubiquitous endoribonuclease, found in archaea, bacteria and eukarya as well as chloroplasts and mitochondria. Its best characterised activity is the generation of mature 5'-ends of tRNAs by cleaving the 5'-leader elements of precursor-tRNAs. Lineage: Archaea; Nanobdellati; Candidatus Woesearchaeota. The record is from RNAcentral.